Molecule: unclassified non-coding RNA, 272 nt
Filed under: plant metagenome
Description: partial contains small subunit ribosomal RNA, internal transcribed spacer 1, and 5.8S ribosomal RNA
Source: RNAcentral
UUUCCGUGGGUGAAUCUGCGGAAGGAUCAUUAAUGAGUUGUCAUGGGGUUCGAUGCUGGCAGCCAGUUUUUGGAUGCAUGUGCUUGCCCUAACAAUCAUCUUCUUCCAAACACCUGUGCACAUUUUUGAGGGAGUCUUGAGUUGGUUGCCGCUCUUGGGUGAUUUUCUCACAUUCCCUUAAAUCAUUAUACGCUAUUAACAAUGUUGAACGUGCUCUGUGCCGCAAGGCCAUUAAUAUAAUACAACUUUUAACAACGGAUCUCUUGGCUCUC